This 126-nucleotide transfer-messenger RNA is filed under the name Spirochaetota bacterium. RNAcentral describes it as "Spirochaetes bacterium partial transfer-messenger RNA". It matches the Rfam family "transfer-messenger RNA", at positions 236 to 374 of the family's 374-position model. From Rfam's summary of the family: Bacterial tmRNA, also known as 10Sa RNA or SsrA, is named for its dual tRNA and mRNA-like properties. Its role is to liberate the mRNA from a stalled ribosome. The record is from RNAcentral. Lineage: Bacteria; Pseudomonadati; Spirochaetota.
UCAGGAUAGGUUUCCGUGGCCUGCCUGAAAGCCUCCGGAAGCUGAAUCAGCAAUUUCAGGCUAAGCAUGUAGAUGUUUAAGUAACCUUACUGCAGGACGCGGGUUCGAUUCCCGCCGCCUCCACAG